Molecule: long non-coding RNA, 696 nt
Organism: Mus musculus (house mouse)
Lineage: Eukaryota; Metazoa; Chordata; Mammalia; Rodentia; Muridae
Product: predicted gene, 30636
Exons: 3
Source: RefSeq, a predicted model, not a curated record
AGUCAGUGCUCUUAACCGCUGAGCCAUCUCACCAGCCCCAGAUAGCCUCAAGACAACCUCUAACUUUGGCAGAGGGUGUACAUUCCUGUCUCAGCCCUCAAGACUCCACACUUCAGCUACAGAAGAGCCAUAGGAGCAGUUAACCAUGGAGCCAGCUCCCUAGUCCUUUGAUUAAAGCGUUGAGCAUCACAUACAAGGUCCUGCAGAAGAGUCGGCUAGCCAGAGGAGUUUCUAGGUUCUCAGCAUGAGUUGCCCAUGAUGAUCUUAUCCUCCUCUUCCUACAGUCUCCUCUCUUGGAAAGAAGAGGAAAAGAAGCAGAGAUGGAAUUGGUGACGUUGGGGUAGCAAUUAGAGAAAGGUACAUCAAGGUUAACACGGAAGAAGUCAGCUCACAGAGGAGACCAGAAACCCUUCCCUGGCAUCUUCUAACAGAGCAUGCUUCAUGAAAUACCAAUGCAGGGAACACAGAAGAUUGUUCAUCUCACUAGCAGUUAAUUUUGGUGUCUUUCCUUAUGUCACUACCCUGUGUUCAUUCUCAGGAGUGCCUCUGCUUUGCUUUAAAAAGGUAUCUCUCUUUCUACUUCAAGCCUCAUUUAGAAGGAAGACUUUUUCUUCCUACUGAUGACUUUUGAGGUUUGCAAUGAACCUGUAUCAUGUUUAUCCUCUAAACGCUAAUAAAAUUGUCCUGAGUCUGUUU